Eucalyptus grandis is the source of this 279-nucleotide long non-coding RNA. RefSeq lists it as uncharacterized. Lineage: Eukaryota; Viridiplantae; Streptophyta; Magnoliopsida; Myrtales; Myrtaceae. The transcript has 2 exons. The record is from RefSeq and is a predicted model, not a curated record.
UCUCUCAUAUUUCUCACUUUCUGUAUCUUUUAUAUCCGGUCUCUCUCUUGCAGAACAAUUCAAGGCUAUCAUCUACAGUCCGCACUCGCUUUCUUUGUGCAUUUCCCUCUUGAAAGUUCUCGCCGAGGCUUGUUUAGGGUCUUCUCUCUCCGAUCUCGCACCUCUUUUCGUAUCUCAGCUCGCAGAAGCAGGUUGGUAUCCUCUCUUCAUUUUUGUCUAUAAGAUUUCUAUGGGGAAAGGGCAAAGUCUGAGCAAAAUAAAAAGAAAAAGAGAAAGAGC